AGAGUUUGAUCAUGGCUCAGGAUGAACGCUGGCGGCGUGCUUAACACAUGCAAGUCGAACGAUUGAAGCUGGAGCUUGCUCCGGCCGAUUUAGUGGCGGACGGGUGAGUAACGCGUGGGUAACCUGCCUCAUACAGGGGGAUAGCAGUUGGAAACGACUGGUAAAACCGCAUAAGCGCACGGUGUCGCAUGACACAGUGUGAAAACACUCCGGUGGUAUGAGAUGGACCCGCGUCUGAUUAGCUAGUUGGUGAGGUAACGGCCCACCAAGGCGACGAUCAGUAGCCGGCCUGAGAGGGUGAACGGCCACAUUGGGACUGAGACACGGCCCAAACUCCUACGGGAGGCAGCAGUGGGGAAUAUUGCACAAUGGGGGAAACCCUGAUGCAGCGACGCCGCGUGAGUGAUGAAGUAUUUCGGUAUGUAAAGCUCUAUCAGCAGGGAAGAUAAUGACGGUACCUGACUAAGAAGCACCGGCUAAAUACGUGCCAGCAGCGGUAAUACGUAUGGUGCAAGCGUUAUCCGGAUUUACUGGGUGUAAAGGGUGCGUAGGUGGCAAGGCAAGUCUGAAGUGAAAAUCCGGGGCUCAACCCCGGAACUGCUUUGGAAACUGUUUAGCUGGAGUACAGGAGAGGUAAGUGGAAUUCCUAGUGUAGCGGUGAAAUGCGUAGAUAUUAGGAGGAACACCAGUGGCGAAGGCGGCUUUCUGGACGACAACUGACGCUGAGGCGCGAAAGUGUGGGGAGCAAACAGGAUUAGAUACCCUGGUAGUCCACACCGUAAACGAUGGAUACUAGGUGUAGGAGGUAUCGACCCCUUCUGUGCCGCAGUUAACACAAUAAGUAUCCCACCUGGGGAGUACGACCGCAAGGUUGAAACUCAAAGGAAUUGACGGGGGCCCGCACAAGCAGUGGAGUAUGUGGUUUAAUUCGAAGCAACGCGAAGAACCUUACCUGGGCUUGACAUCCCUGGAAUCGAGUAGAGAUACUUGAGUGCCUUCGGGAAUCAGGUGACAGGUGGUGCAUGGUUGUCGUCAGCUCGUGUCGUGAGAUGUUGGGUUAAGUCCCGCAACGAGCGCAACCCCUAUUGUCAGUUGCCAUCAUUAAGUUGGGCACUCUGGCGAGACUGCCGGUGACAAAUCGGAGGAAGGUGGGGACGACGUCAAAUCAUCAUGCCCCUUAUGCCCAGGGCUACACACGUACUACAAUGGCCGAUAACAAAGUGCAGCGAAACCGUGAGGUGGAGCGAAUCACAAAACUCGGUCUCAGUUCAGAUUGCAGGCUGCAACUCGCCUGCAUGAAGUUGGAAUUGCUAGUAAUCGCGGAUCAGAAUGCCGCGGUGAAUACGUUCCCGGGCCUUGUACACACCGCCCGUCACACCAUGAGAGUCGAUUACACCCGAAGCCUGUGAGCUAACCUUUUAGGAGGCAGCAGUCGAAGGUGGGGUUGAUGAUUGGGGUGAAGUCGUAACAAGGUA
This 1475-nucleotide ribosomal RNA is filed under the name metagenome. Its description in RNAcentral is "bacterial SSU rRNA". It matches the Rfam family "Bacterial small subunit ribosomal RNA". The record is from RNAcentral.